This 899-nucleotide ribosomal RNA is filed under the name uncultured Bacteroidota bacterium. RNAcentral's name for it is "bacterial SSU rRNA". It matches the Rfam family "Bacterial small subunit ribosomal RNA", at positions 1 to 896 of the family's 1533-position model. Lineage: Bacteria; Pseudomonadati; Bacteroidota. The record is from RNAcentral.
GGAUCCAGACUUUGAUUAUGGCUCAGGAUGAACGCUAGCUACAGGCUUAACACAUGCAAGUCGAGGGGCAGCAUGUCGGUUGCUUGCAACCGACGAUGGCGACCGGCGCACGGGUGAGUAACGCGUAUCCAACCUACCCUUGUCCAUCGGAUAACCCGUCGAAAGGCGGCCUAACACGAUAUGCGGUUCGCAGCAGGCAUCUAACGUGAACGAAAUGUAAAGGAGAAGGAUGGGGAUGCGUCUGAUUAGCUUGUUGGCGGGGUAACGGCCCACCAAGGCGACGAUCAGUAGGGGUUCUGAGAGGAAGGUCCCCCACAUUGGAACUGAGACACGGUCCAAACUCCUACGGGAGGCAGCAGUGAGGAAUAUUGGUCAAUGGACGAGAGUCUGAACCAGCCAAGUAGCGUGCAGGAUGACGGCCCUAUGGGUUGUAAACUGCUUUUAUAGGGGGAUAAAGUGUGCCACGUGUGGCAUAUUGCAGGUACCCUAUGAAUAAGGACCGGCUAAUUCCGUGCCAGCAGCCGCGGUAAUACGGAAGGUCCGGGCGUUAUCCGGAUUUAUUGGGUUUAAAGGGAGCGUAGGCCGUCUUAUAAGCGUGUUGUGAAAUGUCGGGGCUCAACCUGGGCAUUGCAGCGCGAACUGUGAGACUUGAGUGCGCAGGAAGUAGGCGGAAUUCGUCGUGUAGCGGUGAAAUGCUUAGAUAUGACGAAGAACUCCGAUUGCGAAGGCAGCCUGCUGUAGCGCAACUGACGCUGAAGCUCGAAAGCGUGGGUAUCGAACAGGAUUAGAUACCCUGGUAGUCCACGCGGUAAACGAUGGAUGCUCGCUGUUUGCGUCUGACGUAAGCGGCCAAGCGAAAGCGUUAAGGAUCCCACCUGGGGAGUACGCCGGCAACGGUG